Caenorhabditis elegans is the source of this 21-nucleotide non-coding RNA. Lineage: Eukaryota; Metazoa; Nematoda; Chromadorea; Rhabditida; Rhabditidae. The record is from Ensembl.
UCAUUGUUCUUUAAAGGGCUG